This is a long non-coding RNA of Bubalus bubalis (water buffalo), 842 nucleotides long. RefSeq lists it as uncharacterized. NCBI's taxonomy places the organism in Eukaryota, Metazoa, Chordata, Mammalia, Artiodactyla, Bovidae. The transcript has 2 exons. The record is from RefSeq and is a predicted model, not a curated record.
GACCUUUGAGUCACAAUCUCUGUUGCAGGGAGCGCGUGUUCUGUUGAGCCAACUCUCCGGGGGUUGUAGUCAUAGCCUUUGGCACAAGCCAGCGUUUGGGAACCACAGACCUGAUGAUCUUUGAGGUCCCUCCAGGCUCCAGCAUUUAAUGCCAUUUUAGGACAGGGAAGAAAGAAGAAUCUCUGAGAAGUUGGAACUGUUUGGGAUGCGCUGAUCCAGGAAACCUGACAGAAACUAUGCUAACUGAAUGGUAGAAGCAGCAGCACAAUCACUGCAAUAAGUGGACCCUGCGUGGCCCCUGAUAGGAUGCUUGGCGAACAAAGCAUGACUUCAGGGGUGUUCCUGCCAAAGGUGCAAAACCUGAAUCUAACUGUGAGGAAGCAUCAGACAAACCCCAAGUGAGGGAAAGCCUGCAAAAUGAUUUCUCUGUGCUCUUCAAAAAUAUCAAGAUAUGGAAAGCGCGGAAAGACUGGGGAAAUGUUCCAGAUUGGAAGAGACCUAAGAGUCAUAAUGACUGAAUGCAAGGAAUAAUCAAGUGGCCUAUUUUGGACCAGAAAGAAAAGAGGGUAAAAAUGUUCUUAUUUUCAUUGUUAUAGUUGUGUUUCUAAAAAAGAUUCUUGAGAUAUUCAGUAAAGCUGAGACUGUAGAUUAGAGGAUAGAUUGGAUUGACAUUAAUGUACUGAUUUUGGCUAGUGUUUUGAAACUGUGUAGGAGAAUGUUCUUAGGAGAUUUACACUGAAGCAUUUGGACAUUAGCUGGAAAUUUACUCCAGGCUCAGAAAAAUAAAACAAACGUGUACGUGUGUGCAGAGAGAGAGAAUAAAAUAAAUGCAUUUCUAAACA